UCCAGCGGCGAGAACCCGGAACCGGAAACCAGCCCGGCCGGCCUGGCCUCUGACCUGCGGCUGCGAGAUAUCGCGUCUGCGUCAAGUUUGUCGUCAUUUGUUCCAGCCACAGUAGAAAACGAAUACAGAAUACACAAAAAGGUUUUAAGAAUACAGACUGAAAACUGAAAAAUAGAACUUAUUGAAAUUAAGAAUUUAAUUUUCAUCAAAGACACUGUAGAAAGAGAGUAAAAGCAGUUUAUGAUUUGUCUUUAUGGCCUGAUGACAAGACAAUGCUGGUCACAUAUGGGGUUUUUGAGCAUUUACCACAUUAACUGGAGAGAAGAUCAAGAUGGAAGAUGAGAAACACCGCCAGACAGAGUGUCUCUGCAGAAAAGACAGAUUCUAGUAGAAAUUAGAAGAAAGAAACAA
Microcebus murinus (gray mouse lemur) is the source of this 411-nucleotide non-coding RNA. The record is from RefSeq and is a predicted model, not a curated record. NCBI's taxonomy places the organism in Eukaryota, Metazoa, Chordata, Mammalia, Primates, Cheirogaleidae.